UAUAUUUAGGUGUAUGAUGCACAAAGAUUUUUGAUGUCUUAGGGAAUAGUUUAAAUCUAUUAAAUAUAA
RNAcentral lists this transfer RNA (69 nucleotides) under Conocephalus maculatus (maculated rice katydid). RNAcentral describes it as "tRNA-Gln". Lineage: Eukaryota; Metazoa; Arthropoda; Insecta; Orthoptera; Tettigoniidae. The record is from RNAcentral.